AGGACGAACGCUGGCGGCGUGCCUAACACAUGCAAGUCGAACGAGGUCCAACCGGUGGCAACACUGGUGAAGACCUAGUGGCGAACGGGUGAGUAUCACGUGAGCAACCUGCCCCGAAGACUGGGAUAACACCGGGAAACCGGUGCUAAUACCGGAUACCCCCACCGGAUCGCAUGGUCUGGUGAGGAAAUGAAUUUUGCUUUGGGAGGGACUCGCGGCCUAUCAGCUUGUUGGUGGUGUAACGGACCACCAAGGCUUCGACGGGUAGCUGGUCUGAGAGGACGAUCAGCCACACUGGGACUGAGACACGGCCCAGACUCCUACGGGAGGCAGCAGUGGGGAAUCUUGCGCAAUGGGCGAAAGCCUGACGCAGCAACGCCGCGUGAGGGACGAAGGCCUUCUGGGUUGUAAACCUCUUUCAGCAGGGACGAUGAUGACGGUACCUGCAGAGAGCCCGGCAACUACGCGUCAGCAGCCGCGGU
Molecule: ribosomal RNA, 482 nt
Filed under: uncultured bacterium
Lineage: Bacteria
Description: SSU rRNA
Rfam family: Bacterial small subunit ribosomal RNA
Source: RNAcentral